GAUGAACGCUGGCGGCGUGCCUAAUACAUGCAAGUCGAGCGAACGGACGAGAAGCUUGCUUUUCUGAUGUUAGCGGCGGACGGGUGAGUAACACGUGGAUAACCUACCUAUAAGACUGGGAUAACUUCGGGAAACCGGAGCUAAUGCCGGAUAAUAUUUUGAACCGCAUGGUUCAAAAGUGAAAGACGGUCUUGCUGUCACUUAUAGAUGGAUCCGCGCUGCAUUAGCUAGUUGGUAAGGUAACGGCUUACCAAGGCAACGAUGCAUAGCCGACCUGAAGGGUGAUUCGGCAACACUGAAACUGGGACCCGGUCCAGACUCCUCCGGAAGGCACCAGUGGGAAAUCUUCCGCAAUGGGCGAAAGCCUGCCGGAGCAACGCCGCGUGAGUGAUGAAGGUCUUCGGAUCGUAAACCUCUGUUAUUAGGAAAGAACAUAUGUGUAAGUAACUGUGCACAUCUUGCCGGUACCUAAUCAGAAAGCCACGCCUACCUCCGG
This 496-nucleotide ribosomal RNA is filed under the name uncultured bacterium. Its description in RNAcentral is "partial 16S ribosomal RNA". It matches the Rfam family "Bacterial small subunit ribosomal RNA", at positions 28 to 506 of the family's 1533-position model. The record is from RNAcentral.